UGGCUCAGGAUGAACGCUAGCGGCAGGCCUAACACAUGCAAGUCGAGGGGUAACGAUGGCUUCGGCCAGGCGACGACCAGGCGGACGGGUGAGUAUCGCGUUUGUAACCAUACCUCUAACUGGAGAAUAGCCCGAAGAAAUUCGGAUUAAUGCUCCAUAUUGCUAUGAGAUAGGCAUCAUCUCAUAGUGAAAGCCCCGGCGGUCAGAGAUGGGCCUGCGUCACAUUAGUUUGUUGGUGAGGUAACGGCUCACCAAGGCCACGAUGUCUAGGGGGUCUGAGAAGGAUGGUCCCCCACACUGGUACUGAAACACGGACCAAACUCCUACGGGAGGCAGCAGUGAGGAAUAUUGGUCAAUGGGCGAAAGCCUGAACCAGCCAUGCCGCUUGACGGAUGACGGCGCUAUGCGUUGUAGACUUCUUUUGUACGGGAAGACACAGUUCUACUUGUAGAAGCUUGACUGUACCGUACGAAUAAGCAUCGGCUAACUCCCCGCCAGCAUCCGCGGUAAAUACGGAGGAUGCAAGCGUAAUCCCGGAUUUAAUCGGAUUUAAAGGGUACGUAGGUCGGAACAUCAAGUCAGUGGUGACAAUCCCGCAGCUUAACUGUGGAACGUGUCAUUGAUACUGGUUUUCUGGAAAAUAGAUGAGGUAGGCAGGAAUGUGUAAUGUACCGGUGAAAUGCUUAGAUAUUACGCAGAACACCGAUCGCGAAGGCAGGUUACUAGAGUAUGAUUGACGCUCAAGUACGAAAGCGUGGGGAGUGAACCGUGAUUCGAUACCCUGGUAUGUCCACGCUGUAUACGAUGAUCACUCGUUGUGGACGAUAUACUGUCAGCGACUGAGCGAAAGCAUUAAGUGAUCCACCCUGGGGAGUACGACCGCAAGCUUGAAACUCAAAGGAAUUGACGGGGGCCCGCACAAGCGGAGGAACAUGUGGUUUAAUUCGAUGAUACGCGAGGAACCUUACCUGGGCUUAAAUGCAGAACGACGGACCGGGAAACUGGUCU
This 1008-nucleotide ribosomal RNA is filed under the name uncultured organism. RNAcentral's name for it is "bacterial SSU rRNA". It matches the Rfam family "Bacterial small subunit ribosomal RNA", at positions 20 to 1013 of the family's 1533-position model. The record is from RNAcentral.